This 281-nucleotide signal recognition particle RNA is filed under the name Cebus imitator (Panamanian white-faced capuchin). RNAcentral describes it as "Metazoan signal recognition particle RNA (ENSCCAG00000003077.1)". It matches the Rfam family "Metazoan signal recognition particle RNA". Rfam says of the family: The signal recognition particle (SRP) is a universally conserved ribonucleoprotein. It is involved in the co-translational targeting of proteins to membranes. Lineage: Eukaryota; Metazoa; Chordata; Mammalia; Primates; Cebidae. The record is from Rfam by way of RNAcentral.
GCAGGGCGCUGUGGCGCGUGCCUGUAGUCCCAGCUACUCGGAUGGAGGAUCGCUUGAGUCCAGGAGUUCUGGGCUGUAGUGUGCUAUGCUGAUCGGGUGUGCGCACUAAGUUCAGCAUCAAUAUGGUGACCUCCCGGAAGCGGGGGAACACCAGGUUGCCUAAGGAGGGGUGAACUGGCCCAGGUUGGAAAAGGAGCAGGUCAAAACUCCCAUGAUGAUCAGUAGUGGGAUCGCUCCUGUGAAUAGCCACUGCGCACCAGCCUGGGCAACAUAGCGAGACC